CUUGGUGGCCUUUGCGAGGGUCCCAGCACCCGAUCCCAUUCCGAACUCGGCAGUGAAAACCCUCAGCGCCGAUGGUACUUCGUCUUAAGACGCGGGAGAGUAGGUCGUUGCCAAGC
RNAcentral lists this ribosomal RNA (116 nucleotides) under Rhodospirillaceae bacterium. Lineage: Bacteria; Pseudomonadati; Pseudomonadota; Alphaproteobacteria; Rhodospirillales; Rhodospirillaceae. The record is from RNAcentral.